This 500-nucleotide ribosomal RNA is filed under the name uncultured bacterium. Its description in RNAcentral is "partial 16S ribosomal RNA". It matches the Rfam family "Bacterial small subunit ribosomal RNA", at positions 30 to 523 of the family's 1533-position model. The record is from RNAcentral.
AUUGAACGCUGGCGGCAUGCCUUACACAUGCAAGUCGAACGGCAGCGGGGACUUCGGUCCGCCGGCGAGUGGCGAACGGGUGAGUAAUAUAUCGGAACGUACCUUUCAGUGGGGGAUAACGUAGCGAAAGUUACGCUAAUACCGCAUAUUCGGUGAGCAGGAAAGCAGGGGAUCGCAAGACCUUGCGCUGAUUGAGAGGCCGAUAUCAGAUUAGCUAGUUGGUGGGGCAAAGGCUCACCAAGGCGACGAUCUGUAGCGGGUCUGAGAGGAUGAUCCGCCACACUGGGACUGAGACACGGCCCAGACUCCUACGGGAGGCAGCAGUGGGGAAUUUUGGACAAUGUGGGCAACCCUGAUCCAUCCAUGCCGCGUGAGUGAAGAAGGCCUUCGGGUUGUAAAGCUCUUUCGGCCGGGAAGAAAUCGCGCAGGCUAAUACCCUGUGUGGAUGACGGUACCGGAAUAAGAAGCACCGGCUAACUACGUGCCAGCCGCCGCGGUAA